UGUGCCGGCGAUGUUCAUUCAAAUUUCUGCCCUAUCAACUUUCAACCGUAAGGUAGUGGCCUACGGUGGUGGUAACGGGUGACGGAGGAUUAGGGUUCGAUUCCGGAGAGGGAGCCUGAGAAACGGCUACCACAUCCAAGGAAGGCAGCAGGCGCGCAAAUUACCCAAUCCUGAUACAGGGAGGUAGUGACAAUAAAUAACAAUACCGGGGUUUUUCAACUCUGGUAAUUGGAAUGAGUACAAUCUAAAUCCCUUAACGAGGAUCAAUUGGAGGGCAAGUCUGGUGCCAGCAGCCGCGGUAAUUCCAGCUCCAAUAGCGUAUAUUUAAGUUGUUGCAGUUAAAAAGCUCGUAGUUGGAUUUCGGGCGGGGCCUGCCGGUCCGCCUUUGGUGUGCACUGGCAGGGUCCGCCUUGCUGUCGGGGACGGGUUCCUGGGCUUUACUGUCUGGGACUCGGAGUCGACGUGGUUACUUUGAGUAAAUUAGAGUGUUCAAAGCAGGCUUACGCUCUGAAUACAUUAGCAUGGAAUAACGCGAUAGGACUCUGGCCUAUCUUGUUGGUCUGUGGGACCGGAGUAAUGAUUAAGAGGGACAGUCGGGGGCAUUCGUAUUUCAUUGUCAGAGGUGAAAUUCUUGGAUUUAUGAAAGACGAACUACU
Molecule: ribosomal RNA, 656 nt
Filed under: Choricystis sp. ACT 1022
Lineage: Eukaryota; Viridiplantae; Chlorophyta; Trebouxiophyceae
Description: SSU rRNA
Rfam family: Eukaryotic small subunit ribosomal RNA
Source: RNAcentral